CAAAAGAAUCAUAUAAGAAGGAAUAAUCACAUUAGGGGUUUGACAUAAUAUUUUCAUACCCUAGUAAUGUGAUUGAGAGUAUUGUUUUAGAGAAGGAUCGAAUUACAUUGUAAUUCCAACUGAAUAGGUUUUCCGAACAAACUUCUACAUUAGCUUGGGUAGCCAUGAUAUAUAGUUAUAUGUCACUCAUGGCUUGUGAGUUCUUCUAAAUGAUUAAAUGUAGUCGUCAAAGAAGAAGGUGAAUUAAAAGUAU
Molecule: long non-coding RNA, 253 nt
Filed under: Malus domestica (apple)
Lineage: Eukaryota; Viridiplantae; Streptophyta; Magnoliopsida; Rosales; Rosaceae
Description: long non-coding RNA (MDOM_LNC012958)
Source: RNAcentral